UUUUCUUUGUCUUGUUGCAAAAUAGUAUUGGCCUGUUGUAGUAGUUCCUGCAUAUUUUGAUAUUGUUCUCUAUGUACCUGCAAAACGAGCAAACGAUAUAGUUAAAGAAUCAAUGAGGUUGUUCCCUUCUCUGAGGACAUGAGCCACCUCAACCCCAUGACUCCUUAUCAUUGUCUGAUAUCCCAAGAUAUCUGCCAUGGAACCUCCCAUACUCCAUGUAUAACUUUCAAAGCCAC
This 236-nucleotide long non-coding RNA is filed under the name Solanum tuberosum (potato). RNAcentral describes it as "long non-coding RNA (STUB_LNC004559)". Lineage: Eukaryota; Viridiplantae; Streptophyta; Magnoliopsida; Solanales; Solanaceae. The record is from RNAcentral.